UUUUUAAUUGCCCGAAAUAAUUGGCUGUGAAUAAAGAGGUAAUUGACCCUUGAACUCCAUCUCAUUUGCUUCGCUCAAGACCUCAAACAACAAAAGUCGAUCACGAGCAGCACUGAUCGUGAACCUCUCUAUGGUCGCUGUCAUCUUUCCUCUCUCUGUUAUUUUUCAUAUUUUGUUGGAGAAUACCAUAGAAAAUCUGGAGUAGACCAUAGAAAAUCUGGUGGUAUUCAAGAUAACAUACCAGUAAAGAGAAUGAGUAAGCCAUAGAAAAUUUGGAGUAGACUAUAUGUCCUCUCCUUGUUUUUGAGCCACCAUUGUCUUCGAUUUUCUCUAAAUUAUGUGUCUAAUUUUAGGCAAAUCUGAAGAUUUCAGUUUGUGUUGAAUCUUUCUCUCUCUUCUCUCUCACUGAAAGAUACCUAAAAGCCUCCUCCCCUGUCUCUCAUUCAUAAGUAUGGCAGAUUGGCAAUAGAUGGAACGUAAAUCGGGUAGCUUCAGAGGAUUACAUUUUGAAUUUUUGCGUGUAUUUUGUCAUAGGAUUUUGUAGCUUGGAAGUUUUUUUGGAAUCAUUAUGUACAUGUUUGAAGUUUCGGAUUGUAAGGGAUUUACUUAUGUUGAAUGUUUUGAACAUGUUUAAUAUGCUACUACUUUUGAAUUAAGUUUAUAGUUUGGAUGCUUUGAACAACGUAUUAAAUUUUUUAUUUUUUUU
Camellia sinensis is the source of this 706-nucleotide long non-coding RNA. RefSeq lists it as uncharacterized. The record is from RefSeq and is a predicted model, not a curated record. NCBI's taxonomy places the organism in Eukaryota, Viridiplantae, Streptophyta, Magnoliopsida, Ericales, Theaceae.